GAGCUACUCCCUCCGUCCUGAAAUAAGUGACGUGGAUUUGUAUAGAUUCUUAUACAAAUCCAUGUCACUUAUUCUUAUACAAAUCCACGUCACUUAUUUUGGGACGGAGGGAGUAUAUU
Non-coding RNA from Brachypodium distachyon (stiff brome), 119 nucleotides. The record is from Rfam. Lineage: Eukaryota; Viridiplantae; Streptophyta; Magnoliopsida; Poales; Poaceae.